UACGUAGGGUGCGAGCGUUGUCCGGAAUUAUUGGGCGUAAAGAGCUCGUAGGCGGUGUGUCACGUCGGCCGUGAAAACCUGCAGCUUAACUGUGGGCGUGCGGUCAAUACGGGCAUCACUGGAGUUCGGCAGGGGAGACUGGAAUUCCUGGUGUAGCGGUGAAAUGCGCAGAUAUCAGGAGGAACACCGGUGGCGAAGGCGGGUCUCUGGGCCGAUACUGACGCUGAGGAGCGAAAGCGUGGGGAGCAAACAGG
RNAcentral lists this ribosomal RNA (254 nucleotides) under uncultured bacterium. RNAcentral's name for it is "partial 16S ribosomal RNA". It matches the Rfam family "Bacterial small subunit ribosomal RNA", at positions 524 to 776 of the family's 1533-position model. The record is from RNAcentral.